Molecule: ribosomal RNA, 534 nt
Filed under: Citrobacter sp. L55
Lineage: Bacteria; Pseudomonadati; Pseudomonadota; Gammaproteobacteria; Enterobacterales; Enterobacteriaceae
Description: bacterial SSU rRNA
Rfam family: Bacterial small subunit ribosomal RNA
Source: RNAcentral
GGGAGCAAACAGGAUUAGAUACCCUGGUAGUCCACGCCGUAAACGAUGUCGACUUGGAGGUUGUGCCCUUGAGGCGUGGCUUCCGGAGCUAACGCGUUAAGUCGACCGCCUGGGGAGUACGGCCGCAAGGUUAAAACUCAAAUGAAUUGACGGGGGCCCGCACAAGCGGUGGAGCAUGUGGUUUAAUUCGAUGCAACGCGAAGAACCUUACCUACUCUUGACAUCCAGAGAAGUUUGCAGAGAUGUGAACGUGCCUUCGGGAACUCUGAGACAGGUGCUGCAUGGCUGUCGUCAGCUCGUGUUGUGAAAUGUUGGGUUAAGUCCCGCAACGAGCGCAACCCUUAUCCUUUGUUGCCAGCGGUUAGGCCGGGAACUCAAAGGAGACUGCCAGUGAUAAACUGGAGGAAGGUGGGGAUGACGUCAAGUCAUCAUGGCCCUUACGAGUAGGGCUACACACGUGCUACAAUGGCAUAUACAAAGAGAAGCGACCUCGCGAGAGCAAGCGGACCUCAUAAAGUAUGUCGUAGUCCGGAU